Suricata suricatta (meerkat) is the source of this 581-nucleotide long non-coding RNA. RefSeq lists it as uncharacterized. NCBI's taxonomy places the organism in Eukaryota, Metazoa, Chordata, Mammalia, Carnivora, Herpestidae. The record is from RefSeq and is a predicted model, not a curated record. The transcript has 4 exons.
GAAGUGCCAAGGGCUUCUGUAGCCUGGCACCUGGUGAGAACAGCCUGAGGCCAAGGUGAGGAAGCUGUCGCCACCUCAGAGGAACUUAACAGUCAUAUUCUUUCCUGAUUCUGUCAAGUGUCCUUGAGGGACUGUGCCUAAUGUAAGGGAUGAGUUUGUGGUGGGAUGGUACAAGCAGCCUGUGGAGGCCCCCUUUCCUUCCGACCACCCAGAUCACAAGGGAUGUGGAGUGUUCCUGUCCUUGGAGUGAGGCAUAAAGCAGCCAGAAUGGACUCAGACACUGCCAUUCGGAAUACAUUACAAAUACUACACCAUUUACUCAUUGCCACAAACCUGGGAGGCAGCUAUGGUUCCCACCUCCACCUGAAAAUACUGAGGGCUGGCUGAAACAAGGGAACAUCACUCAGACAGGAAGUAGUACAGGAAAGCAGAAUUUGCUAAUCUCAGAUAUUGCUCUGGUGUCAUUGAUUAUGAAUGCUUUUUGGCUGAGAAAAUUGUUCAAGGAGCAUUCCAAGUGUUGGAGAGGAAUUUCUCCAUCUGUUCUCUUUGAAUAAAGAGGAUCCUGAUAUGGUGUACAAAUA